Molecule: long non-coding RNA, 1181 nt
Organism: Mastomys coucha (southern multimammate mouse)
Lineage: Eukaryota; Metazoa; Chordata; Mammalia; Rodentia; Muridae
Exons: 2
Source: RefSeq, a predicted model, not a curated record
UCAAUAUUAGGCAUGUGGCUUCUCAUUGACCAAAAUGUCACUCUGAGGCAUGUGCCAUGCUUAGGAGAAGGUCAGGGAUGCAGAGGACGUCCAAGAUACCCACAUAGGCCUGAAAUCUUUGCCACACAGCCUAGGCUGAUCCAGGUCACUGCCUGCCUGGCCAGGGGAGUUGAAGAAGAACAGAAAGGCCUUUAAAGACUUUUGGACCCAGAGAGGCAGAACCAAAGAAAGGUGGUAGUGGUUGGCAUGCCAAGAAGAGAAUGUUGGGUAAACCAAAGCAAAGCUCAUGUCAAGACUCCAUGCACACAGAGAAAAGGCCUGGAGAUGGAUGGAUCACAUACCCAUCAGCAAAUCGAGAGAUGAUCAUGAUGGGACCAAAGGACUCCUCCUUAGCGAUGUACAUGUGGUCCUCCACGUCUGUGAAAAUGGUUGGCUGAAAGAAGAAGCCUGUGGGGAGACAGUGGUCUGAUGCACGUUGGAAUACUGUUCUCUCUGGUUCCAACAGGUUCACUAUAGACCUAGGCACCUCAUCCUCUGCCUUCUAGGUAGAAAUGGCCAAAAAGAGUCACCCCCUGAUCUGUCCUGUUCUUGACUGGGUUCUAGAAAACUCUCCACCUUCCUGUUCAGAGAGCUGAUGGGCCACCCCUAUGUCCAUGGGGGCUGCACUGGCCCCACUGGGUCCCUCUCCCUGCUCUGUGAACAAUGCUUGUUGUCUGUCCCCUGCUAGGGCUUGCCACACUGUCCCCAGCCUUAAGGAACUCUCCACUUUGGUGAUACAGGGACGUUUGCGCUUGAAUGCCACUUGAGCUAAAUAACAAGUUGUUCUCUGGGUGGGAUGCUGGGAGUAGCUGUCUGCCAAGCUGAGGAACUGUCAAUACAGACAGCAGAAAAUGAGAAGCAUCAAGAGAAAACGCAAGAUGGUGGCCCAUGACGGGGGUCAAUGGCAAGUCACACUGUUCACAAACGAGACCAUGGAGGCAGUCAGGAAACUUGCGCCUGAAGCAAUAGUGCACUGUAUCAGAACCCAAGAGCUCUCAGAGGAUUAAUAUACAAAGGGUCAAUGUCUGGUUUUUGGGGCUGCUCAGCAGGAUGAGGUGCAAAAGGUGCAGGAGAACCAAAUCAUAAAUGAGGUGUCAGACUUAACAGAACCAAGGAGAGAAUUAAAAUCAAGGCGUCAGAAG